GCCAUCAUGGCUCAAUGGUUGAGCAUCGACCUGUGAACCAGGAGGUCAGGGUUCGAUUCCCAGUCAGGGCA
This is a non-coding RNA of Myotis davidii, 71 nucleotides long. Lineage: Eukaryota; Metazoa; Chordata; Mammalia; Chiroptera; Vespertilionidae. The record is from Rfam.